AACCAGAAGGCGCAAUGAAAGUGAAGGCACGGUCGCCGUGCUGAGGUGAGAGCUGUCUCGGCAGCACAUCAUCGACCGAUCCCAUCCGCUCCCUCGUGGUGCGGCGGGAUUCGAGUAAGAGUGUACCUGUUGCGACCCGAAAGAUGGUGAACUAUGCCUGAAUAGGGUGAAGCCAGAGGAAACUCUGGUGGAGGCCCGUAGCGAUUCUGACGUGCAAAUCGAUCGUCAAAUUUGGGUAUAGGGGCGAAAGACUAAUCGAACCAUCUAGUAGCUGGUUCCCUCCGAAGUUUCCCUCAGGAUAGCUGUAGCCCGAAGCAGUUUUAUCAGGUAAAGCGAAUGAUUAGAGGUAUCGGGGAAGAAACUUCCUCGACCUAUUCUCAAACUUUAAAUAGGUAAGAAGUCCGACUUGCUCAAUUUGAAGCCGGACGCAGAAUGCUGGGUUACUAGUGGGCCAUUUUUGGUAAGCAGAACUGGCGAUGCGGGAUGAACCGAACGCCGAGUUAAGGUGCCAAAGUCGACGCUCAUCAGAUCCCACAAA
RNAcentral lists this ribosomal RNA (538 nucleotides) under cf. Spongia irregularis NZ002. RNAcentral describes it as "eukaryotic LSU rRNA". It matches the Rfam family "Eukaryotic large subunit ribosomal RNA", at positions 705 to 1218 of the family's 3401-position model. The record is from RNAcentral. Lineage: Eukaryota; Metazoa; Porifera; Demospongiae; Dictyoceratida; Spongiidae.